RNAcentral lists this microRNA (22 nucleotides) under Callorhinchus milii (elephant shark). RNAcentral describes it as "eshark_NOVEL_135". The record is from RNAcentral. Lineage: Eukaryota; Metazoa; Chordata; Chondrichthyes; Chimaeriformes; Callorhinchidae.
UUAACUCUGGAACGUUGGUUUU